Molecule: ribosomal RNA, 435 nt
Filed under: uncultured bacterium
Lineage: Bacteria
Description: partial 16S ribosomal RNA
Rfam family: Bacterial small subunit ribosomal RNA
Source: RNAcentral
AACGAACGCUGGCGGCAGGCUUAACACAUGCAAGUCGAACGCGUGCAGCAAUGCACGAGUGGCGCACGGGUGAGUAACGCGUGGAUAUCUGCCUUUUGGUUCGGAAUAACCCCGGGGAACUGGGGCUAAUACCGGAUGGUUCCUACGGGAUAAAGAUUUAUCGCCAAAAGAUGAGUCCGCGUCCGAUUAGCUAGUUGGUGAGGUAAUGGCUCACCAAGGCGACGAUCGGUAGCUGGUCUGAGAGGACGAUCAGCCACACUGGGACUGAGACACGGCCCAGACUCCUACGGGAGGCAGCAGUGGGGAAUAUUGGACAAUGGGGGCAACCCUGAUCCAGCCAUGCCGCGUGAGUGAUGAAGGCCUUCGGGUUGUAAAGCUCUUUUGGCGGGGACGAUGAUGACGGUACCCGCAGAAUAAGCCCCGGCUAACUUCGUG